GACGAACGCUGGCGGCGUGCUUAACACAUGCAAGUCGAACGGAAAGGCCCCUUUGGGGGUACUCGAGUGGCGAACGGGUGAGUAACACGUGAGUAACCUGCCCUUGACUCCGGGAUAACUUCAGUAAACUGGGGCUAAUACCGGAUAGGAAUCCUUGCUGCAUGGUGGGGGUUGGAAAGCUUCGGCGGUUUUGGAUGGACUCGCGGCUUAUCAGCUUGUUGGUGGGGUAGUGGCUUACCAAGGCGUUGACGGGUAGCCGGCCUGAGAGGGCGACCGGCCACAUUGGGACUGAGAUACGGCCCAGACGCCUACGGGAGGCAGCAGUGGGGAAUAUUGCACAAUGGGCGGAAGCCGGAUGCAGCAACGCCGCGGGCGGGAUGACGGCCUUCGGGUUGUAAACCGCUUUCAGCAGGGGCGAAGCUUGUGGUGACGGUACCUGCAGAAGAAGCACCGGCUAACUACGUG
This 465-nucleotide ribosomal RNA is filed under the name uncultured bacterium. RNAcentral describes it as "partial 16S ribosomal RNA". It matches the Rfam family "Bacterial small subunit ribosomal RNA", at positions 28 to 507 of the family's 1533-position model. The record is from RNAcentral.